GUGGGGAAUCUUGCGCAAUGGGCGAAAGCCUGACGCAGCCAUGCCGCGUGAAUGAUGAAGGUCUUAGGAUUGUAAAAUUCUUUCACCGGGGACGAUAAUGACGGUACCCGGAGAAGAAGCCCCGGCUAACUUCGUGCCAGCAGCCGCGGUAAUACGAAGGGGGCUAGCGUUGCUCGGAAUUACUGGGCGUAAAGGGCGCGUAGGCGGACAGUUUAGUCAGAGGUGAAAGCCCAGGGCUCAACCUUGGAAUUGCCUUUGAUACUGGCUGUCUUGAGUACGGGAGAGGUGAGUGGAACUCCGAGUGUAGAGGUGAAAUUCGUAGAUAUUCGGAAGAACACCAGUGGCGAAGGCGACUCACUGGCCCGUUACUGACGCUGAGGCGCGAAAGCGUGGGGAGCAAACAGGAUUAGAUACCCGUGUAUCC
This 424-nucleotide ribosomal RNA is filed under the name uncultured bacterium. RNAcentral describes it as "partial 16S ribosomal RNA". It matches the Rfam family "Bacterial small subunit ribosomal RNA", at positions 354 to 795 of the family's 1533-position model. The record is from RNAcentral.